This 253-nucleotide ribosomal RNA is filed under the name uncultured bacterium. RNAcentral describes it as "partial 16S ribosomal RNA". It matches the Rfam family "Bacterial small subunit ribosomal RNA", at positions 524 to 776 of the family's 1533-position model. The record is from RNAcentral.
UACGUAGGGGGCAAGCGUUGUCCGGAUUUAUUGGGCGUAAAGAGCGUGUAGGCGGCUUGGUAGGUCCGCUGUGAAAACUCGAGGCUCAACCUCGAGAUGUCGGCUGAAACCAUCUGGCUAGAGUCCGGAAGAGGAGAAUGGAAUUCCCGGUGUAGCGGUGAAAUGCGCAGAUAUCGGGAAGAACACCCGUGGCGAAGGCGGUUCUCUGGGACGGUACUGACGCUGAGACGCGAAAGCGUGGGGAGCGAACAGG